GACGAACGCUGGCGGCGUGCCUAAUACAUGCAAGUAGAACGCUUAAGGAGGAGCUUGCUUCUCCGUAUGAGUUGCGAACGGGUGAGUAACGCGUAGGUAACCUGCCUGGUAGCGGGGGAUAACUAUUGGAAACGAUAGCUAAUACCGCAUAACAGUAGAUGUUGCAUGACAUUUGCUUAAAAGGUGCAUUUGCAUCACUACCAGAUGGACCUGCGUUGUAUUAGCUAGUUGGUGAGGUAACGGCUCACCAAGGCGACGAUACAUAGCCGACCUGAGAGGGUGAUCGGCCAAACUGGGACUGAGACACGGCCCAGACUCCUACGGGAAGCAGCAGUAGGGAAUCUUCGGCAAUGGACGGAAGUCUGACCGAGCAAAGCCGCGUGAGUGAAGAAGGUUUUCGGAUCGUAAAGCUCUGUUGUAAGAGAAGAACGAGUGGGAGAGUGGAAAGUUCACACUGUGACGGUAUCAUACCAGAAAGGGACGGCUAACUACGUG
Molecule: ribosomal RNA, 495 nt
Filed under: uncultured bacterium
Lineage: Bacteria
Description: partial 16S ribosomal RNA
Rfam family: Bacterial small subunit ribosomal RNA
Source: RNAcentral